GACGAACGCUGGCGGCGUGCUUAACACAUGCAAGUCGAGCGGUAAGGCCCUUUCGGGGGUACACGAGCGGCGAACGGGUGAGUAACACGUGGGUGACCUGCCCUCAGCUCUGGGAUAAGCCUGGGAAACCGGGUCUAAUACUGGAUAUGACUCCAUGACGCAUGUUGUGGGGUGGAAAGCCUUGUGCGGCUGAGGAUGGGCCCGCGGCCUAUCAGCUUGUUGGUGGGGUGANGGCCUACCAAGGCGACGACGGGUAGCCGGCCUGAGAGGGCGACCGGCCACACUGGGACUGAGACACGGCCCAGACUCCUACGGGAGGCAGCAGUGGGGAAUCUUGCGCAAUGGGCGAAAGCCUGACGCAGCGACGCCGCGUGAGGGAUGACGGCCUGGUGUAACGUACUU
RNAcentral lists this ribosomal RNA (402 nucleotides) under uncultured bacterium. RNAcentral describes it as "bacterial SSU rRNA". It matches the Rfam family "Bacterial small subunit ribosomal RNA", at positions 28 to 435 of the family's 1533-position model. The record is from RNAcentral.